GAUGAACGCUGGCGGCGUGCCUAAUACAUGCAAGUCGAGCGAACGGACGAGAAGCUUGCUCCUCUGAUGUUAGCGGCGGACGGGAGAGUAACACGUGGAUAACCUACCUAUACGACUGGGAUAACUUCGGGAAACCGGAGCUAAUACCGGAUAAUAUUUUGAACCGCAUGGUUCAAAAGUGAAAGACGGUCUUGCUGUCACUUAUAGCUGGAUCCGCGCUGCAUUAGCUAGUUGGUAAGGUAACGGCUUACCAAGGCAACGAUGCAUAGCCGACCUGAGAGGGUGAUCGGCCAGACGGGAACUGAGACACGGUCCAGACUCCGACGGUAGGCAGCAGUAGGGAAUCUUCCGCAAUGGGCGAAAGCCUGACGUAGCAACGCCGCGUGAGUGAUGAAGGUCUUCGGAUCGUAAAACGCUGUUAGUAGGAGAGAACAUAUGUGUAAGUAACUGUGCACAUCUUGACGGUACCUAAUCAGAAAGCCACGGCUAACUACGUG
Molecule: ribosomal RNA, 497 nt
Filed under: uncultured bacterium
Lineage: Bacteria
Description: partial 16S ribosomal RNA
Rfam family: Bacterial small subunit ribosomal RNA
Source: RNAcentral